RNAcentral lists this long non-coding RNA (497 nucleotides) under Salmo salar (Atlantic salmon). Its description in RNAcentral is "lncRNA (ENSSSAG00000088039.1)". The record is from RNAcentral. Lineage: Eukaryota; Metazoa; Chordata; Actinopteri; Salmoniformes; Salmonidae.
AGAGAGAGAGAGAGAGAGAGAGAAAAGGAAAGAGAGAGAGAAGUUCCCUGUACAUUUGACAGUAAAAGAAAAGGUAUGUGGCACACUGCAGAUUCUACCGGAGGACUUCUCCAAAAGGAUUGAAAGAGAAGUUGGCGAAACACGUGUGCAACAUUCGACACCAAUACUCCAAACGGAGAGAAUUAAAAGAGAAUCUGGGGAAAGAGGAGAUCAUCGAACAUAUUGACUUUGCAGAGAACUACAGCAGUGAAAUCCAGGAACCACAACAUUCCAGAAAGAUGACAAAUGGCAGUAAGGAAGAGGAGUUCCAGCCCCUACCCUUCUCCCCCUAGUUCCUCUCUCCUCUCUCCCCCUAGUUCCUCUCUCCCCUCUCCCCCUAGUUCCUCUCUCCCCUCUCCCCCUAGUUCCUCUCUCCCCUCUCCCCCUAGUUGCUCUCUCCCCUCUCCCCCUAGUUCCUCUCUCCCCUCUCCCCCUCGCUCCUCUCUCCCCUCUCCCCC